This 7089-nucleotide long non-coding RNA is filed under the name Equus caballus (horse). RNAcentral's name for it is "lncRNA (ENSECAG00000052458.1)". The record is from RNAcentral. Lineage: Eukaryota; Metazoa; Chordata; Mammalia; Perissodactyla; Equidae.
UAACAAAAUCUUGCAUUCUGUAGCAGAUUUCUGUUCAUUUUCCUGAGAUUUGAGGAAGUCCCUAUUAUAGUCCUCAACCAUCUCUAGACCUUCUGAGAUGGCAAUUGGAAGGGCAUAUUGUACAAUGUGCUUUUUCUUUACCUGGGAGGGGGAACCCUGAGGAGAGGAUAGUUUGUUAAUGAGGUCAGGGAACGAGCAGAAGGCAAAGAAGGGAUGUAAGUAGUACAUCCUUGGUGAUGGUAACGCUGGUGGGAGAGAGCAACAAAGGGGGAGAGUUUCAGAAAGUUCCAAGUGCAAGUAGUUAUGUUCUUGCCUUUGUUAUGAAGUCCUUAAGAGAGGUUAUUUGGGAGUCAGUAUUUCAUUUUGAGGCCUUGGAAUAUCAAUCAAAGAAGCCAGCCAUUGAAUAGUAGGUAUUUUGCCUCUCCUUUGGAGUUCCUCCUAAAUCUAUUGUUUUUUUGACAUACGGGAAGUUUCCCAUAAAGACCAUUGAAUUCUAAACCAUUCUUAGGGAAAUGCCACCUUUUACCAAGAUAGGUGCAAGAACUAAGAUUGUAGUGAGAGGGCAUUUAGGAAGCAGCGCUUCUGCCAGGUGGACACUUUGGUUUUGAUGCAGAUGAACCCAUGACAAACCGAAAAAUGGGCCAUGGUGAAGAGUCAAAAUGGCAUCAUGACGAAUGGUGUCUCACACACCCAACUAAACAGAGUCUAUGAAGGAACUGCGCUGAUCUUAUAUCACAAUUCGAUGACACAUGAAGCAUCAUUAUAAAGGUUUUGCUGAGGUACUCAAGGUAAAUGUUGACCAAUUGCUUCUGCUUGAAUUGGUUGCUGGGCUGAUGAACCAUUAGUCAUGGGUCUAAUGGACCCAUAACUAUUAGUCAGUGGAGACAGUGUGGACCAGAGGCUUAAUGAGCUUAUGCCUCCAUCUGUAACCUAUGGAGUACUUCCUUGUAACACUCAACAUACACAAGACAAUCAAGGACAACAGAAAAACAUGAAGGCCAAGAUGAUGCAUAAAUAGAAAAAUGAAAAGUGAAAGUAAAUAAAGCAAUGGAUGAAUAAAAGGAAUAAUGGAGGGAGGACGAACAAAACAGUUUACCUCCAAACCAAAACAUUUAUUUCCCUUCAAUAAACACCUAUUUGCUUACAAAUCCAAGAACUGUACAAUAAAUUCAGCAGUGAGACCUCAUAAAACCCGUCAGAGCUCAGAUCACUGUUGGGAACGACUCACCUCCCAGAGAAGGUAGAGGAUGAUCAGGGUGAAGUAAAAGGGGCUUGAUGAGCAUACCAGUUAAUGUGAGGUUCCCACAGAAUGCCACUGAGUAAGGGUCUUCAAACCAAUAUCAGAGCGCCUCCAAUCGUGAAGGAAGAGACUGUCACUCACACUACGGUGGAACAAAGAUGCUGAAGUUAUUCCUUGCUAAGCAGGAGAGAGCUGUACUUGCAAAUCAUAGUCUCUGAACAGCGCUAAGAGCUGAGUUUUGCAGAGUUUGGGGAAACGGAGUUUGGGGAUCAGAGGACCUUCCGCAGUAGGAGUGUUUAGGGGUUGAUUGGCUUUCAGAACCAUGGUCACGGCAGUGUGGGUGUUGCUGACGGACUUCCAGGACUACGAGUGCUGAAAUGAGGCUGUCCCUCACUGAUUGGGAUACUCAAUAAAACACCUAGAUUAACAUAAACAAUUAUGCAAAGAACAAAGUUGGAGAACUUUCACUUCCCACUUUCAAAAUUUACUAUAAAACUAGUUAUAAAAACAGUGGUAGUAUGGCAUAAGGGUAGAUUCAUGGAAGAGAAUUCAGAGUCCAGAAAUAGAUCUUUAUAUUUAUAGUCAAUUGAAUUUGAAGAAAGUGCCAAGGAAAUUCAUUGGGGAAAAGAUAGCCUGUUUGACAAAUGUUGCUGAGACCAUUAAACAACCAAUGCAUAAAGAUGAACUAGAGCUUCAUGUCACACCACACACAAGUGUUAACUCAAAAUGGAGGAUAGACUCAAAUGCUAUAAACUUUAAAAAAAAAUAAGGGACAAUCUUUAAGACUUGGGCUAAGCAAAGAUUUCCUAGAUACAACACCAAAAGCAUAGUCCAUAAAAGAAAACAAUAUCUAUAUAGGAUGUUGUUAAAAUUUAAAUUUUUACACUUUAAAAGAGAUCCUUAAGAAAAUGAAAAUACAAGCAACAGACCUGGAGAAAAUGUUUUCAAUAAUUCCUAUCCAAGAAAGGACUUGUAGCCAGAAAUUAUAAAGAACACUUACAACUCAAUAAUAAGAAGACAACAAACCAAUUAAAAACGGGAAAAAGAUAUGAAGAAACAUUUCACCAAUUAAGAUUUACAAAUGGCUAACUGUACAUGAGAGAUGUUCAACAUCAUUUGUCAUUUAGGGAAACGCAAACCAAAACUACAAGGAGGUAACAUUCACACAUGCUAAAAUGAGUGUAAUAAACAAGACAGACAAAAACAAGUGUUCACGGGAUGUGAAGAAAUGGGUACUUUCACAUAUUGUAAAGUGGUGCAGCCACUUUGAAAAAUAUUUUGGCAGUUUCUUAGAAAGUAAACUAUCAUGAGAGCCAGCAAUCCCAUUCCCGGGUAUCUACCCAAGAGAAAUGAAAACACUGCAUAGCGCUUGAACAUUCAUAGCAGCGUUAUUCAUAAUAGCAAAAAAUUGGUCACAGCCUACACGUCCACCCCCUAGUGAGUGGAUAAUUGAAAUGUGGUGUAUCCAUACAAGGAAUAUCAUUCAGUCAUAAAAAGUAAUGAAGGACUGACACAUACAACAGCAUGGAUGAACCUCAAAAACACUAUGCUAAGUGAAAUAAGCCAGAUGCAAAAGGCCACGUAUUGUGUGAUUCCAUAUGUUAAAUGUCCAGAAGAGAUAAAUCUAUAGAGACAAAAAGUAGGUUAGUUGUUGCCUAGGGCUGGGAGAGGGAACAGAGAUGAACUCUCGAUGGACAUGAGUGAUCUUAUUGGGGGGAUUAUAAUGUUCUAAAACUGAUUUAUGGUGAUGGUUGUACCACUCAGUAAAAUUACUAAAAUUCUUGAACUGCACGCUUGAAAUGGGUGAAUUUGAUGUUAUAUAAAAUGUAAUUCAAUAAAGCUGGUAAACAACAAUAAAACAAAAAAUAGGCUAUGGUGAAAGAUCAAGAUGUGUUAAAUAAAGAAAAUGAAUAGAUGAGUGUCUAUGAUAUAAAUCUCUACUUUUUCCAUAUUUGGAAUAUUUCAUAAAUUUUAAUUUGAAUAAAACAAACACUUUUCCUAUCUCAAAUAUGGCAUUAUCGCUGGGAGUGUAUACUGUCAAGAUUGUAAGGUGCACACGAGGCUGUUUUUUAUUUAAGGGCUAUUGGCAAUCUACACUUGACAAUUGCCCACUGAUUUUCUGCAUCUUCAGCAACACCUCAUUCAGAGCCAGGCUCAGAGGGGACACUUGUUAGCUUGAUUCGACGCCUUCUGUUUGCCUAGUUUCCACUUCAAAGCCAGGUAUAGGGCUUGGGCCUCAAUGAAUGAAGUAGAGGCAGACGUGCAGGAGGAAGGACUCUGCAACACCAGAGCAAAGAUGUAGGUAGUGAUUCCCCAAUCCCAUCCCGAAGGGACCUACAACCAUCUACGUGGCUGACUGUGCUCAGGUCCAAAGCCAGAGUCAGAAGGAGAGGGUGGGAACAAAGGGAGUAGGACAAACCACGCUUGUGCUCCUCCCACUCGCUGACUCUCCUCCCACCAUCACACAGUCCCUCAAGUCAGGAACCUAAAACCAUCCUUGGUUCAGUCCUUUAUCUCACCUCUCACCUCUCAAUAAUCACCAGCUCUUGCUGAUUUUUCUCUCUUAAAUGUUUCAUUUACUCCACUCCUCUUUGGCCCCACCGACCCUGCUCUGUUGAGGUCCUCACCAUUCACCCCCAGAUGGUCUCCCUUCCUCCAGUCUUCUCUCAGAAGCCCAGUCGUCACAUUCCUAUUUAGGCGAUAUAUCUAGAGUGCAAAAUCGACCCUCAUGCUCAACCACACAAAAACCUUAAAUUGCCCCCAAAUUCUGAGAGGAUGAAGCCCGAGCUCCUAGCCACCCUACAUCCUUGACAGAGCAUCAGGGUAAUCUCUGCCUCUUCCCAUCCACAGAACGGCAUGUGGGCCGCAGUAACUGCCAUGCUGUUUCACACUCCUGUGAUUUUGUGCAUGCCUCUUCCCACAUCUUCACUGGAAUAACAGCUGCUUGUGCUGCCAUUCUCAGUUCAGGCAUCAGCCUCUAUAGAGAAUAUUUCCGGACGAUGCCAGACCACAUUAGGUGACUCUUCUCUGACCUCCUGAGCAUCCUGUGCUUACCUUUGUCAUGUGUUAAUUAAGGGUAAUGGCUCCAGAUUCAGACCGCUUGGGGCUGAUUCCCAGAUCUACUAUUCGCUAGCUCUGUGACCUCAGCCAAGUCACUAAACUUCUCUAAAUCUCUACUUCUUCAUCUGCAAAAUCUAGAUAAUAGUAUUUACCUAUAUGAGCCAAGACUUAUUUGGGUGCAAGUCAAAGAAACCCAACUUAAACUUAUUUAAGCAAAAGUGAGGCAUUGUUUUUGGUUAAUGUAAUAGAAAAGUCCAGUAGUGUAAUGACUUCAGGCAUGGCUGGAUCCAGGUGCUCAAAGAAUGUCACCAAGAAGCUGUCUGUCUCCCUUUCUCAACUCUGUUUUUCUCUGUGUUAACUUCAUUCCCAGGCAAAAUCUUCCUUCAUAGUUGCCAUUGAUGGUUUCAGUCUUAUAUCUUCAGAGCUAGGUAAUCUCAAGGGCAAGAAAGAGCUUCUCAUUCCAAACAGGUUUAAAAACAAAGUGGACUGUCACUAGAAUGGCUUGUCGUAUCAUAUGCCACCCCUGAACAAGUUGUCUUUUCCAGGAGGUUAUAAUGAACCGAUCAACCAUUUUUGGAUCAAGCACCAAAUUUUCAGAACUUGAGGUCAGGGCCCUCCAGCAGCACUGCUCUUGGACCAAAACAAAAGGAGUCCUAGUCCUUUAUCCCAUUCUUUAGAGGGACCUACAUCUUACAAAGAUAAGUAGAAACAGGUUUAUUAAAGAACAUAAGGGUGUGUCUUUCACUGAGGAUCCAGCCCUCCCUGCAGCCUGGAGCUAAAUACCAUCCUCCUUAACUUCACUGUUCAGGUUGCUGGGAAAGGCUUGUCCACACUUCCCACCGAUGUGCUUGAAGCAAAAGGUGACAGCGUUCCACGCUGCGGAGGUUUGGGUCAUGGGCAGUCAGCAGAGGACACAGACACUUCUUAGAGCACAGGUGGGAGGGGCAGGGUCUCAAAGCCAGAGGACCCUUGAGGAGGUCUGAAAUAGCCACUCUGCGAAAUAGAAAAGGAUUGCUGGAGCAGAUUCAAACUCCCCAACCCCCACCUUUCCUCUACACAGGAUUCAUUAAUUAUGCCCAGAACAGGUCAUCUCUAAUAUUCCUGACUCUGGCUGAGCAUCCAACAUGAAAGGAGAAAUCGCAUCAGCUGGAAGGCAGGCAGGGCCGUCCCUGAGACAGGCCCACUUCUGCCUCAUUUCACCAUCAACUGCUUGCCUCUGGCUCCCUGAAGUGCUCUAGUUGAACUCUCAAGGGUCCCCGGAAAUGGACUUGAAGAAUGAAGAAACCAAAGUCAAGGCCAUUUAUUUUUAACUAAAUAUACCCUGAGUUCCCACUGAAAGUGAGCGUGGCCUGAUAGCAGAGCCAAAGAAGGCAAGAUGUUUGCUUCUCCAGCACUGGGAGAGAAACCGAACAGGAAGCCAGUUACCGAAGAGCAGAGGCAGAAGAUAGCAGUCUACGCCCUGGGAGCUCCGGGCCCCUUCAGUGGACAGCCUGACCUCGCCACUCCCCGCUCCCAGUGCACAUCCAUCUCUUUGCCUUGGCCCAUGCUAGGCCCUCUGCCAGGGACAUCUCCUACACUCACCUCCCUCAUCCAAACCCUCUCAGACUCACCCCUUACAACACCCAGCUCAAACGCCACUUCCCCACCAUCCGCAGCUCACAGUGACGUCUCCCGCUCUGCUCCCACAGUGUUAAUUCUCCUCUCUACCUGUCCUUCCUAUCUCAGCUUAAAGAACACCCGCCCUGCACAGGUGAGGUCUACCUGCCUCACCUCCGCAUAGCUCCUUUAUGUGUUUGAUGGCACAAAGCACGCUUUGUGAACAUAGAUUUAUUUUUGCUGUAAUUUAUUUAAUGUCUGUUUCUCCCACCAUAUUGGCUACGUGAGUGUUAACUGAGCUGCGCCUGUUUCAUCCAUCAUGGCGGCCCUUCAUGCCUGGUAUUGUGCCCGCCAGGCAUCUAUCUCCCUAGCUGCACAUAUAUAUUGUAAAUAUGUGUCUAUUUGUUGAAUAAAUAAAUAAAUAACAAGAUAAAUGAAAGAAGUGGCCCCUGGAAGGAUGUUGGAGUAGAUAGCCUUGAAAAUCCCUUUUACUUUUAGAAUUCAGUAAGAACACCUUUUUAGACAAGAAGCGGAAACACAGGUUCUGCUCAUUUAGAAAAAGUCCUCUGAGAAAAAUUAGCUUUCCUUGUCUCAGCUGUCUAGCAGGGUGUGGAGGUGUGUGUCUUGGAGAUAAAGACUUAGAAGGUGCUUGUUCCACUUGAGGGAGAAACGACUGGUGGGGACAGACCAGCGACGGAGCCGUUUGGAAAGCCAAGAGCAGACGAGCUUCUAAUGGCCCCGCAGCUGCAGACGAGGAGUCCAGAUGGGGUCUCUGAAAAGCUGAAGCCCCAACACGCAAAAUUGCUCAUUCUGCCAUUUACUUAACUCACCCAUAGCAGCACAAAAUGCUUCCCAGCUUUGUUUUGAUACAUUCAAUUGAAAAUAAAUAUUAGGCCCAGCUGUCUGCACUCUCCAAUUUAAGCGAUGAAAUCAUGACCAAAUAAUGGACUUGUUCCUCACCUCUGGCAGGCUCUCCUCCUACCCGGUAGUCACCCACAGGGUCUGAAUGGAUUUAUGGAGUUUAUGUUCUGGCCCCUUCAACUUUAAAAACUGAACUAAAAUGAAAUCAUCCAGAAUAUUAGGCUGAACUAGCUGUGUUACUAACUAGCAAUUGGCCCUGGGGAAAUCAUGUGACUUUCCUGGAACUUGGCUUCUUAACACACAAAAUGAGGAAUAAAGAUCAUAUGUGGAUU